GAUGAAGAACGUAGCGAAAUGCGAUAAGUAAUGUGAAUUGCAGAAUUCCGUGAAUCAUCGAAUCUUUGAACGCACAUUGCGCCCCCUGGUAUUCCGGGGGGCAUGCCUGUCCGAGCGUCAUUGCAACCUUCAAGCGCGGCUUGUGUGUUGGGUCUCGUCCCCCGUGGACGGGCCCGAAAGGCAGUGGCGGCGUCCCGACAUGGUGCCCGAGCGUAUGGGAAUCCUCUUCCGCUCGAAUCGGCCCAUGCGGCGCUGGUCGUAACCAAAUUUUUUACCGGUUGACCUCGGAUCAGGUAGGGAUACCCGCUGAACUUAAGCAUAACAAUAAGCGGAGGA
RNAcentral lists this unclassified non-coding RNA (336 nucleotides) under soil metagenome. Its description in RNAcentral is "partial contains 5.8S ribosomal RNA, internal transcribed spacer 2, and large subunit ribosomal RNA". The stretch from base 1 to 120 matches the Rfam family "5.8S ribosomal RNA", at positions 35 to 154 of the family's 154-position model. The record is from RNAcentral.